Molecule: transfer RNA, 73 nt
Filed under: Microbacterium amylolyticum
Lineage: Bacteria; Bacillati; Actinomycetota; Actinomycetes; Micrococcales; Microbacteriaceae
Also listed under: 1 other name
Description: tRNA-Lys
Rfam family: tRNA
About the family: Transfer RNA (tRNA) molecules are approximately 80 nucleotides in length. Their secondary structure includes four short double-helical elements and three loops (D, anti-codon, and T loops). Further hydrogen bonds mediate the characteristic L-shaped molecular structure. tRNAs have two regions of fundamental functional importance: the anti-codon, which is responsible for specific mRNA codon recognition, and the 3' end, to which the tRNAs corresponding amino acid is attached (by aminoacyl-tRNA synthetases). tRNAs cope with the degeneracy of the genetic code in two manners: having more than one tRNA (with a specific anti-codon) for a particular amino acid; and 'wobble' base-pairing, i.e. permitting non-standard base-pairing at the 3rd anti-codon position.
Source: RNAcentral
GGGCCUAUAGCUCAGCUGGCAGAGCAUCGGACUUUUAAUCCGCGGGUCGCGGGUUCGAGCCCCGCUGGGCCCA